Molecule: non-coding RNA, 1512 nt
Organism: Ciona intestinalis (vase tunicate)
Lineage: Eukaryota; Metazoa; Chordata; Ascidiacea; Phlebobranchia; Cionidae
Source: RefSeq, a predicted model, not a curated record
CAUAUACAGGCGUCACGCAAAAAAAGGACUCGACGAGAACUUUUUGUAUUUAUUAUUGCUUUGUAUCAAACUAUAUUGUAGCGCAGGGUUUGCUACGUUACGCUACGUACAGGAUGGUUAAGGAAAAACUUCAUAUCAACAUUGUUGUGAUAGGCCACGUCGACUCCGGAAAGUCAACGACCACUGGCCAUCUAAUCUACAAAUGUGGGGGCAUCGAUAAAAGAGCGAUCGAGAAAUUCGAAAAGGAAGCGCAACAGAUGGGUAAAGGUUCGUUCAAGUAUGCCUGGGUGUUGGACAAACUGAAAGCGGAACGAGAAAGAGGAAUCACAAUUGAUAUUGCACUUUGGAAGUUUGAAACAAUUAGGUAUUAUAUCACUGUUAUUGAUGCACCUGGUCAUCGAGAUUUCAUCAAAAACAUGAUUACUGGAACAUCCCAGGCUGAUUGUGCCGUUUUGAUCGUUGCGGCUGGGGUGGGGGAAUUUGAAGCAGGGAUAUCCAAGAACGGCCAAACAAGAGAGCACGCUCUCCUUGCAUACACACUUGGUGUGAAACAACUUAUUGUAGCAGUUAACAAGAUGGAUAACACUGAACCUCCGUAUUCUGAGCAAAGGUUUAAUGAAAUCAAGUCGGAAGUUUCUGCUUACAUAAAGAAGAUUGGAUACAACCCUGAAGACGUGCCUUUUAUACCGAUAUCUGGUUGGCAUGGCGACAAUAUGCUCGAACCAAGCGAUAAGAUGAAUUGGUUUAAGGGAUGGGAGAAGAAAUCAAAAAGUGAGGAUGGAAAGUCAAGUGGUAAAACUUUGUUGGAUGGACUCGAUGCAAUCCUUGAACCCAAACGCCCAACUGAUAAAGCACUGAGACUUCCCCUUCAGGAUGUUUACAAAAUAGGAGGCAUUGGAACGGUUCCCGUGGGAAGAGUUGAGACUGGUGUUAUGAAACCAGGAAUGCUGGUGACGUUUUCACCCGCCAACAUUACUACGGAAGUCAAGUCGGUAGAAAUGCACCACGAAGCACUGACAAAGCACUUCCAGGAGACAACGUUGGUUUCAACGUUAAGAACGUGUCGGUGAAGGAUAUUAAACGUGGUAUGGUGGCAGGGGAUGCCAGCAGAGAUCCACCGAAAGAAGCAGCCAGCUUCGUGGCUCAGGUAAUUGUUCUGAAUCAUCCUGGACAAAUACGAAAAGGUUACGCUCCAGUGCUUGAUUGCCACACCGCACACAUUGCAUGCAAGUUCGACGAGCUUCACGAAAAAGUGGACCGCCGAUCUGGUAAAAAGUUGGAAGACAACCCAGUGUUUAUUAAGACCGGGGAUGCAGCGUUUGUGAAGAUGGUGCCCAGUAAACCAAUGUGUUUGGAAUCAUACCAGGAGUAUCCGCCUCUGGGUCGCUUUGCCGUACGAGACAUGAGACAAACUGUGGCAGUAGGGGUGGUGAAAUCUGUGGAAAAGAAGGAAAGCACAGGAAAGUUGACAAAAGCUGCACAAAAGGCGGGGAAAAAGAAAUAGCUUUAAAC